Molecule: ribosomal RNA, 460 nt
Filed under: uncultured Anaerolineaceae bacterium
Lineage: Bacteria; Bacillati; Chloroflexota; Anaerolineae; Anaerolineales; Anaerolineaceae
Description: bacterial SSU rRNA
Rfam family: Bacterial small subunit ribosomal RNA
Source: RNAcentral
AAUUGACGGGGCCCGCACAAGCAGCGGAGCGUGUGGUUUAAUUCGAUGCUACACGAAGAACCUUACCAGGGUUUGACAUGUUAGUUGUAGGGAACUGAAAAGGGACGACCCUUCGGGGAGCUAACACAGGUGCUGCAUGGCUGUCGUCAGCUCGUGUCGUGAGAUGUUCGGUUAAGUCCGCUAACGAGCGCAACCCUCGCCGUGUGUUAUAAGUGUCACGCGGGACCGCCGGUCUUAAGCCGGAGGAAGGUGGGGAUGACGUCAAGUCAGCAUGGCCUUUAUGUCCUGGGCUACACACACGCUACAAUGGCCAGUACAAUUGGUAGCGAAGUCGCGAGGCGGAGCCAAUCCGUAAAAGCUGGCCUCAGUUCAGAUUGCAGGCUGCAACCCGCCUGCAUGAAGAUGGAGUUGCUAGUAACCGCAGGUCAGCAAUACUGCGGUGAAUACGUUCCCGGGCCUU